RNAcentral lists this unclassified non-coding RNA (345 nucleotides) under uncultured fungus. RNAcentral's name for it is "partial contains 5.8S ribosomal RNA and internal transcribed spacer 2". The stretch from base 1 to 133 matches the Rfam family "5.8S ribosomal RNA", at positions 22 to 154 of the family's 154-position model. The record is from RNAcentral. Lineage: Eukaryota; Fungi.
UGGCUCUGGCAUCGAUGAAGAACGCAGCGAAAUGCGAUAAGUAAUGUGAAUUGCAGAAUUCAGUGAAUCAUCGAAUCUUUGAACGCACAUUGCGCCCGUUAGCAUUCUAGCGGGCAUGCCUGUUCGAGCGUCAUUUCAACCCUCAGGGCCCUUCCUUCACGGGGAGGGACCUGGCGUUGGGGAUCGGCCCGCCCCGUGCGGUGCCGUCCCUCAAAUACAGUGGCGGUCCCGCCGUAGCUUCCCUUGCGUAGUAGCAUAACCUCGCACUGGAGCUCGGCGCGGCCACGCCGUAAAACCCCCGACUUUCUGAACGUUGACCUCGGAUCAGGUAGGAAUACCCGCUGA